Molecule: long non-coding RNA, 643 nt
Organism: Pseudophryne corroboree (corroboree frog)
Lineage: Eukaryota; Metazoa; Chordata; Amphibia; Anura; Myobatrachidae
Exons: 3
Source: RefSeq, a predicted model, not a curated record
ACACACACAGUGCCCAUAAUGGAAGACAUAUAUAUGAUGGCGUCAUACUGAAGCACACACCAGGGUUUCAUCUUCUUCAGUCCUUGUAACUAUUUAAUCUUCAUGAUGUUUUCUAAAUGGCAUGAUUCCAAGCAGCAGGAGCAGGGGUGUAGCGAGGUCGGCACCGGUGGAGCUCAUGCUUAAGCAGUCCCGCCAUCGCUACUGCCAGUAGUUACACACUGUGCCUGUACAUGGCGGUUGCGAUGCAGAAGGCAGAAGAAUGGAUGCUCCCCAGUGCCCCCAGCACAAUAAAGUUUUGUUUGAUUUUUGGCACAGUGCGCCACGUCAUAACGUCUGUGUGCUGUGACUGAAGAACAGCCACGAGGAGCUCAGCAAUGCAGAAGAACCCGAGAACAGAGCAAGAGAGUCCUGACUGCCUUAAGGAGCAUCCUGAGAGAAAAUGCAGCUGCUACAGCAAGAAAGCCACAAUGACACCGAGAACUUGAUUCUUCAGCUCACACGUCCUUCUCCCUUCCUAGUGUCCAUGAUGUGCCAUCUGUCUUGCCUGUUAACCCUUGUCGUGUCUGUGUCCUGCUUUUGCUUGUAUUGACACACUGAAAUGUGGCAAGUCUGACAACCCAUUAUAGUUGUGACCUUUAUUUGA